UUACGGCCAUAUCACGUUGAAACACUGGUUCUCGCAAGAUCAGCGAAGUUAAACAACGUCGAGUCUGGUCAGUACCUAUAUGGCAAACCAUAUGGGAAUACCAGGUGCUGUAAG
This is a non-coding RNA of Acanthosepion pharaonis, 114 nucleotides long. NCBI's taxonomy places the organism in Eukaryota, Metazoa, Mollusca, Cephalopoda, Sepiida, Sepiidae. The record is from the annotation of a GenBank genome assembly.